This 496-nucleotide ribosomal RNA is filed under the name uncultured bacterium. RNAcentral's name for it is "partial 16S ribosomal RNA". It matches the Rfam family "Bacterial small subunit ribosomal RNA", at positions 29 to 507 of the family's 1533-position model. The record is from RNAcentral.
AUGAACGCUUGCGGCGUGCCUCAUACAUGCAAGUCGAGCGAACAGACGAGGAGCUUGCUCCUCUGACGUUAGCGGCGGACGGGUGAGUAACACGUGGAUAACCUACCUAUAAGACUGGGAUAACUUCGGGAAACCGGAGCUAAUACCGGAUAAUAUAUUGAACCGCAUGGUUCAAUAGUGAAAGACGGUUUUGCUGUCACUUAUAGAUGGAUCCGCGCCGCAUUAGCUAGUUGGUAAGGUAACGGCUUACCAAGGCAACGAUGCGUAGCCGACCUGAGAGGGUGAUCGGCCACACUGGAACUGAGACACGGUCCAGACUCCUACGGGAGGCAGCAGUAGGGAAUCUUCCGCAAUGGGCGAAAGCCUGACGGAGCAACGCCGCGUGAGUGAUGAAGGUCUUCGGAUCGUAAAACUCUGUUAUUAGGGAAGAACAAAUGUGUAAGUAACUAUGCACGUCUUGACGGUACCUAAUCAGAAAGCCACGGCUAACUACGUG